UGCAUUUAGUGGGCAUGAACUCUCUGUAGUAGGAGGUAGAGUCACCAUAUUCAUGGUAGAGGCAAGUAUGCCCUUUAGUGGGGUUAGAGCUCACAGAGAAGACCGUUUUCUACCGAUGCAGCCACUGCUGCAUUGGUCAUGACCUGGAAAUCUACCGGAGUCCUCCAUAUUCUAUCAUAAUCACAGGCCACUGGGGUUCACAGAGUACCACAUUCAUGUGUAAAGUACCACAAGGGCAAUAGAACCUAGGCAGACAGACCACAGCAAUACCUAUUAGGC
This is a non-coding RNA of Pelobates cultripes (western spadefoot toad), 279 nucleotides long. Lineage: Eukaryota; Metazoa; Chordata; Amphibia; Anura; Pelobatidae. The record is from the annotation of a GenBank genome assembly.